RNAcentral lists this ribosomal RNA (500 nucleotides) under uncultured bacterium. Its description in RNAcentral is "partial 16S ribosomal RNA". It matches the Rfam family "Bacterial small subunit ribosomal RNA", at positions 30 to 523 of the family's 1533-position model. The record is from RNAcentral.
AUUGAACGCUGGCGGCAUGCCUUACACAUGCAAGUCGAACGGCAGCACGGGAGUAAUCCUGGUGGCGAGUGGCGAACGGGUGAGUAAUAUAUCGGAACGUGCCCAGUCGUGGGGGAUAACGCAGCGAAAGCUGUGCUAAUACCGCAUACGAUCUAAGGAUGAAAGCGGGGGAUCGCAAGACCUCGCGCGAUUGGAGCGGCCGAUAUCAGAUUAGCUAGUUGGUGGGGUAAAGGCCCACCAAGGCGACGAUCUGUAGCUGGUCUGAGAGGACGACCGGCCACACUGGAACUGAGACACGGUCCAGACUCCUACGGGAGGCAGCAGUGGGGAAUUUUGGACAAUGGGCGCAAGCCUGAUCCAGCAAUGCCGCGUGCAGGAUGAAGGCCUUCGGGUUGUAAACUGCUUUUGUACGGAACGAAACGGCCCUUUCUAAUACAGGGGGCUAAUGACGGUACCGUAAGAAUAAGCACCGGCUAACUACGUGCCAGCCGCCGCAGUAA